This 336-nucleotide ribosomal RNA is filed under the name Engaeus cymus. RNAcentral's name for it is "partial 12S ribosomal RNA". The record is from RNAcentral. Lineage: Eukaryota; Metazoa; Arthropoda; Malacostraca; Decapoda; Parastacidae.
CUUAAAAUUCAAAGGAUUUGGCGGUAUUCUAGUCUAGUUAGAGGAACCUGUUUCGUAAAUGAUACUCCACGUAAUAUCUUACUAGCUUUUGUUUUAGUUUGUAUACCGCCAUUAUUAGAUAACUUUUAUAGGGAUAGUUAUUGAAAGUAAAUUUUUUAGGUAUAUUAGGUCAAGGUGCAGCUUAUGAGAAUAGAGAGAAUGGGUUACAAUAAGAUUUAUUUAAACGGAUUAACGGAGGAAGAAUUAUAGAGUUUUGUUAUGAAGGAGGAUUUAAUUGUAAUGGGAUUUUAAUAAGGUCUGAUGAUAUAGGUUCUAGAUUAUGUACACAUACGCCCG